CUACAUUUCGACUUAACCUAAUUUGCAGGUGGAGUCCCGAUGAGUUUGAACUAUACAUCGAUGGACCUGAUGAAUCAGAUGUUGAAUGCUCAUAGUACCUCUCUUCAUGAAGCAAUCCCUCUAAAAAAAGUUUGAACAUUACGAGAUAUGACGCAAAUGUGAUUUUGCAGCUACAGUGUUGUAGCGAUUAUUGGUUAAUGUAUUUUAAGAUGAGUUGAUUUUUGGGAAUGUUAGAAAUUCUGUGAACUAGGCUGAGUGGUUAACUGGGAAGUGGUGUUUAGCUGUUUUUUGUAACUUGAUGAAAAAAAUCAAAAGUACUUUGAUGCAGUUUUGAUAG
This 337-nucleotide long non-coding RNA is filed under the name Phaseolus vulgaris (common bean). Its description in RNAcentral is "long non-coding RNA (PVUL_LNC002797)". Lineage: Eukaryota; Viridiplantae; Streptophyta; Magnoliopsida; Fabales; Fabaceae. The record is from RNAcentral.